UAGUAAAGAAGUUCGGUUAAAUUCGCAACGUCCUGUUGCAACACCGAACGUCUCUACUUCCUGUGAG
RNAcentral lists this small RNA (67 nucleotides) under Halobacillus dabanensis. RNAcentral describes it as "Bacillaceae-1 RNA". It matches the Rfam family "Bacillaceae-1 RNA". Lineage: Bacteria; Bacillati; Bacillota; Bacilli; Caryophanales; Bacillaceae. The record is from RNAcentral.